RNAcentral lists this long non-coding RNA (373 nucleotides) under Nicotiana benthamiana. Its description in RNAcentral is "long non-coding RNA (NBEN_LNC042247)". Lineage: Eukaryota; Viridiplantae; Streptophyta; Magnoliopsida; Solanales; Solanaceae. The record is from RNAcentral.
AGAAGCAAGGGAAGGCAAUGCAAAGGCCUGGGAACUGUUUUAGCAGCCAGCUGUAUCAAGAAUGCACUCCUUUUCUUCAGCAGACUUAGACCAGUUUCAGCUGACUGAAGCAAGACCCUUAGUUUCCUUGCUAGUGUUAUGCAAUCGUAUAGUUGAUCUUUCGCAGCAGCUAGAACAUGGCCCAUAUCCUUUGCUCUGUCAAGUGCACUGUAGAAAAACCUAAUGUUAAAGACAAAACCUAACAUGUAAACUUCAUUAACGAAAAGUUGAAAGCACUGACCCUUAGUUUCCUUGCUAGUGUUGUGCAAUCGUAUAGUUGAUCUUUCGCAGCAGCUAGAACAUGGCCCAUAUCCUUUGCCCUGUCAAGUGCACU